RNAcentral lists this ribosomal RNA (497 nucleotides) under uncultured bacterium. Its description in RNAcentral is "partial 16S ribosomal RNA". It matches the Rfam family "Bacterial small subunit ribosomal RNA", at positions 28 to 507 of the family's 1533-position model. The record is from RNAcentral.
GAUGAACGCUGGCGGCGUGCCUAAUACAUGCAAGUCGAGCGAACGGACGAGAAGCUUGCUUCUCUGAUGUUAGCGGCGGACGGGUGAGUAACACGUGGAUAACCUACCUAUAAGACUGGGAUAACUUCGGGAAACCGGAGCUAAUACCGGAUAAUAUUUUGAACCGCAUGGUUCAAAAGUGAAAGACGGUCUUGCUGUCACUUAUAGAUGGAUCCGCGCUGCAUUAGCUAGUUGGUAAGGUAACGGCUUACCAAGGCAACGAUGCAUAGCCGACCUGAGAGGGUGAUCGGCCACACUGGAACUGAGACACGGUCCAGACUCCUACGGGAGGCAGCAGUAGGGAAUCUUGCGCAAUGGGCGAAAGCCUGACGGAGCAACGCCGCGUGAGUGAUGAAGGUCUUCGGAUCGUAAAACUCUGUUAUUAGGGAAGAACAUAUGUGUAAGUAACUGUGCACAUCUUGACGGUACCUAAUCAGAAAGCCACGGCUAACUACGUG